Molecule: ribosomal RNA, 1493 nt
Filed under: Lacticaseibacillus rhamnosus
Lineage: Bacteria; Bacillati; Bacillota; Bacilli; Lactobacillales; Lactobacillaceae
Description: bacterial SSU rRNA
Rfam family: Bacterial small subunit ribosomal RNA
Source: RNAcentral
GGCUAGAGACGCUGGCGGCGUGCCUAAUACAUGCAAGUCGAACGAGUUCUGAUUAUUGAAAGGUGCUUGCAUCUUGAUUUAAUUUUGAACGAGUGGCGGACGGGUGAGUAACACGUGGGUAACCUGCCCUUAAGUGGGGGAUAACAUUUGGAAACAGAUGCUAAUACCGCAUAAAUCCAAGAACCGCAUGGUUCUUGGCUGAAAGAUGGCGUAAGCUAUCGCUUUUGGAUGGACCCGCGGCGUAUUAGCUAGUUGGUGAGGUAACGGCUCACCAAGGCAAUGAUACGUAGCCGAACUGAGAGGUUGAUCGGCCACAUUGGGACUGAGACACGGCCCAAACUCCUACGGGAGGCAGCAGUAGGGAAUCUUCCACAAUGGACGCAAGUCUGAUGGAGCAACGCCGCGUGAGUGAAGAAGGCUUUCGGGUCGUAAAACUCUGUUGUUGGAGAAGAAUGGUCGGCAGAGUAACUGUUGUCGGCGUGACGGUAUCCAACCAGAAAGCCACGGCUAACUACGUGCCAGCAGCCGCGGUAAUACGUAGGUGGCAAGCGUUAUCCGGAUUUAUUGGGCGUAAAGCGAGCGCAGGCGGUUUUUUAAGUCUGAUGUGAAAGCCCUCGGCUUAACCGAGGAAGUGCAUCGGAAACUGGAAAACUUGAGUGCAGAAGAGGACAGUGGAACUCCAUGUGUAGCGGUGAAAUGCGUAGAUAUAUGGAAGAACACCAGUGGCGAAGGCGGCUGUCUGGUCUGUAACUGACGCUGAGGCUCGAAAGCAUGGGUAGCGAACAGGAUUAGAUACCCUGGUAGUCCAUGCCGUAAACGAUGAAUGCUAGGUGUUGGAGGGUUUCCGCCCUUCAGUGCCGCAGCUAACGCAUUAAGCAUUCCGCCUGGGGAGUACGACCGCAAGGGUUGAAACUCAAAGGAAUUGACGGGGGCCCGCACAAGCGGUGGAGCAUGUGGUUUAAUUCGAAGCAACGCGAAGAACCUUACCAGGUCUUGACAUCUUUUGAUCACCUGAGAGAUCAGGUUUCCCCUUCGGGGGCAAAAUGACAGGUGGUGCAUGGUUGUCGUCAGCUCGUGUCGUGAGAUGUUGGGUUAAGUCCCGCAACGAGCGCAACCCUUAUGACUAGUUGCCAGCAUUUAGUUGGGCACUCUAGUAAGACUGCCGGUGACAAACCGGAGGAAGGUGGGGAUGACGUCAAAUCAUCAUGCCCCUUAUGACCUGGGCUACACACGUGCUACAAUGGAUGGUACAACGAGUUGCGAGACCGCGAGGUCAAGCUAAUCUCUUAAAGCCAUUCUCAGUUCGGACUGUAGGCUGCAACUCGCCUACACGAAGUCGGAAUCGCUAGUAAUCGCGGAUCAGCACGCCGCGGUGAAUACGUUCCCGGGCCUUGUACACACCGCCCGUCACACCAUGAGAGUUUGUAACACCCGAAGCCGGUGGCGUAACCCUUUUAGGGAGCGAGCCGUCUAAGGUGGGACAAAUGAUUAGG